Molecule: ribosomal RNA, 316 nt
Filed under: uncultured bacterium
Lineage: Bacteria
Description: bacterial SSU rRNA
Rfam family: Bacterial small subunit ribosomal RNA
Source: RNAcentral
GAUGAACGCUGGCGGCGUGCUUAACACAUGCAAGUCGAGCGAAGCACUUUGAAGUUUUCGGACAUCGAAGUGACUGAGCGGCGGACGGGUGAGUAACGCGUGGGUAACCUGCCUCAUACAGGGGGAUAACAGUUAGAAAUGACUGCUAAUACCGCAUAAGCACACAGGAUUGCAUGAUCCAGUGUGAAAAACUCCGGUGGUAUGAGAUGGACCCGCGUCUGAUUAGGUAGUUGGUGAGGUAACGGCUCACCAAGCCGACGAUCAGUAGCCGACCUGAGAGGGCGACCGGCCACAUUGGGACUGAGACACGGCCCAA